This 4801-nucleotide long non-coding RNA is filed under the name Homo sapiens (human). RNAcentral's name for it is "testis expressed 41 (TEX41)". Lineage: Eukaryota; Metazoa; Chordata; Mammalia; Primates; Hominidae. The record is from RNAcentral.
AGGAAGACCCUGGCCUCCAUCUUGAAAACGGAAAAUAAAAACAGCAGACCUAUGAAGGUCGAAGGGGAAGAAAAGCUGUAUCGAUUGUUGAGAUCUGGCGACUUGUUUAAAUUUCAUCAGCCUCACUUCUAUGAACUCUCAGGCCUCACGUGUACCAGCUCUCUGCUCUCCUUUGCCUUGGGACGUUCCAUCCCUGGAAGUUUCCCUGCCCACAUCUUUGUAGAGAGUCCAUUCUCCAAGCUUCAGUGUGUCAUCUGUGAGGACCGUGACCCACCUGGUACAUCGCCUCAGGGCAUUCAUUUCAGGCUCCUUCUAAAUGGCCAAGAGACAACACCAACAUUUUUGUAAUGGCCUGCAAGGCCUUCCGAGAUCUACCUCCUGCAACUCAGCUUCUCCUGUGCUCUCCUUCUGGACUCACUCUGCCUCAGCAACACUGGUCCCUGUUGCCCCACCAAUAUGCCAGGCCAUGAGAGAAGCAGUACCUUAUAAUGGUUCCUUGUUCAAAGCACUCAAUAUUCCUAGGAUGUGGUCUCCCAGCUGACUUCAUAACUGAAUCAUCAGUAAUUAAUUUCAUUGUUCUAUUAGGACUUUACUGAAGACUCUAAGGAGGACCUGUAUCUGUUGGGAUCCUCAGGGCAAGCCACAGAAACAAGCUUUGGAUACUAGAAGCAGAAAAUGGAGAUAUUGAAGACUAUUGUGGAGUUUACUGUGAGCCAGAGAACCAGGCUGGGGGGCUGUAUCACUUAGAAUGAGAUCCAAACUCACACCAUAGUUCCAUCCUUGAGGUUGCCAUGUUGCUGCCACCCCUCCUGCCACCCCACCACUGAAGCUUUGGAUGCUGGAUUCUGGGCACAGCAGGGAGAAGUGUUGCUUAUUACCAUUUUAGUAUGUUUUCUUUCAAGACCUUUUCAAAAUAUACAUACGUAUUUUUAUUUCUAUUCAAAAUGGGAUACAUUUUUGAAGGUUAGCAAUAUAUUGUGAACAUUUUCUUUCCAUGCUCAGAAACAUUUUUCUAUAAUGUAAUUUAUAGUGAUAUAAACUAUCUCAUAGACCUACCAUAGUUUACCUAACAAAUCCCAAAUCAUUUGUGCCAUUUCUAAAUUUUUAUUAUUUUAUGUAAUGCUUUAAUGAACAUCCUUGCAUUUAUAUUUUAUACAAUUUUAGAAGUGGAAUUACUGGUUCAAAAUACAUGGUGAUUUUUAAUUCUUCUGUUGAAUAUUGACAAAUUGCAAUCCUGAGAGUUAUCUUGAAGGAUAGAGUACAUGCCCAGGGUUCUUUUUUAAGAAAUAAUUUGUAAUGUGAAACAGAAUAGGCUAAAUGUUUUUUAUUCUCUUAGUCCUACUCUGUCAUUCUGCAGAGUUUCACUUAUUUGGAUUCAAAUUCUAAUUCCAGCCUACCUCUCUUUUUAUAUAAUUGUUAGGAGGAUUAAAUUAGAUGCAUAAAAUUGCUGCUUACUACAUACAUUGCACAAACUAAAAACUUUUCAAAGGUUAACUGUUUUUCUGGUUUAUUUUUAAGACACAGGUUCUUGCUCUGUUGCCCAGGCUGGAGUGCAGUGGUGUGAUCACGGCUCACUAUAGCCUCAUCCUGCUGCACUGAAGUGAUCCUCUUGCCUCAGCCUCCUGAGUAGCUAGGACUACAGGCACGUGCCACCAUACCCAGCUAUUUUUUUAAAAAUACAUUUUUGUUGAGGCUGGGUCCCCUUUGUUGUCCAGGCUGGUCUUAAGCUCCUGGCCUCAAGCAAUCCUUCCACUUCUACCUCCCAAAGUGUUGAGAUUAGAGGUGUGAGCCACUCCACCUGACCCAAAGGUUAACUAUUAUUAUUGUUAUUAUUAGUCUGUUUUUUUCCAUUCAUUUCCUCAUUAGUCAACUUUUAUUGUUUCAAUGUUAUUUUAUUGUUUUUCAAAGACUCCUUAUAGUCACAAUAUGUACAUAAUAAAUUUUACCCUUUAAGGACACUGAGGUUCCAAAUGAAAAUGAUAUUUUUAAGGUGAAACAAUUAUAGAUAGAAAAACAACUUUUUUUUCUGUGAGUACUAGAUUUCAUAUUAUCCUUAAUGUCUUUCUAGGUAGUAACCAAGUGAUUUCUCAUAAACUGGAAAACAUUAUUCCCACUGAUAUUCUUAAAAACAUUUAGGAUUAAAAAAUGUAUUUUAAAUUCUUCUUGACAGAAAUCAUUUAUUGCAAUUACAUUGCCAAUUCAUAUAUAUAUUACAUAUAUGUCACCUUGACUUAUAGUAACCUGAAGGGGAAAUUUGUAGGUUUAGCAAAUCCCUUCGAGUAACACCCACAGAACUGAAAUCUUAUUCCAUUUCUUGGUGGUCUUCUACCAAUCCAGUCCUCCUGAGGACCAUAAAAACUAUUGGUUCCUCUCCUAAACUGCUGUAAAAUAUAUCCUGUGAGACCCAGGGGAAAAUCUUUCUGAGGUUGAGCAUUCCAUGGAGACUCAAUAUUCCAGAUUUUGAAAUGUAGCUAGAAGUGGAAAUGGAUUUAUUUCUCAGGAUCUCUUUGUUCAUAAUUAAGGAUAUAAAAAAUAGAGUUCAGAAUGUGAGUGAAAUGUAACUGAAAAGGAAAGCCUUGAUUUUACAUAUAAAAUAUCUUUACCAGAUGGGUGAAGUAAGGUAACUUAAGACAAUACUUAAAAUUCAAUAACAAUGAUGAAACUAUGAAAUACAAAACUUCUGGCACCCAUAAGCUAGUUCCUAGAAAGAAGGUUAUCAUAUAUUGUUAAUGUGUUCACACACUUAACAAAUAUUAAUGUGUUCAUUACAUUUAAGGCAUGAGAACUUACACAUCAUUCAAUGGUGAUAUUAAUAAUAAUUCAGUAAUCAUUAAUGAUGUACAUGCUGUUAAUAACCACAGGGCAAGUUUAUUUUUCUGUUUUCUCUGAGUUCACUUGACUUUCCCUAAUUUCUGAAGAAUUCAUUCUUUUCUUUGUGUGCUAAGAAAGAAAGGCAUUAAUAUUUAUUUAAUUUUAGUCAUUCAUUUAAAUAUAGUCUAUCUUGUUCUAAAAUGUAUUUAUGGCCAACAUGUUUCUAUUUGUUGUCAAGAAUUCUUUAAUAAUUUGUGUAUUUUUCUAGCAGUAUUGUCUUCCAUUUUUCCCUCCACUCAUUGGGAAAAAUUGCUGAUUUCUUUCUUUCCCUUCCUCAAAGUCAUCAAAUAUAGAACACAAUCCCUUGUGUGCUCAAUAAAAUAUCCCUAUGGAAUUCAAAGUCUUUGAUAACAUUUAAAUUUGGUCUUGGGUUGCAGUGACAUAGACUUAGUUAUCACAUUGGCACUCGCUUAAUUAAACCUUUCUGCAUGAUUGAAAACCCUGGUUCCAAUGUCUUGAGUUCUGAGAUCUGUUUCAGCAGAAAAAGCCCAUUUUUUUGUUAUGCAUUCAAGGCUUGUGUUCUUUAACUGUAUUCUGGAGAGAAGGGAAGGCAUUCACAGUUUUUGAGUAUCUACCAUAUGAAUUAUUUUUUUUCUUAGUAAUCCUCACAGUCACCUUUUGUUUUAUUACCUUGUCCAUUUUAAGAAUGUGUAAAAAAGUGUAAUGCUAAUUAGUAAAGCUGAGAUUCAAAUCCAGCUUCACCUUCAUUUUUUCAAACAGCAAACAUGUAUCAUAUGCCUUAUUGUAUAAGAAAAGUUGUCCUAAGUUGUCCUAAGUUAUAGAAGUGCUAUAGUGGUAGAAUUGAUUGCAAAGUUGCUUCAUAUUCUGCAAUACUGUUGCUGAAACUAUUUUAGGUAUGUCCUUGGUAUUUCUCAAAUAUUAGAAUUCUAAUGUAGUAAAAUCAAAUUUAAUUUGCAACUGAAUCAUGCACAAACUAAACAGCAGCAAACAAAAAUACACUGAUCGUGUCUACACUGGCAUGGUCAUUAACAGUGACAAGGUCUUCAUGUAGUCUGGUUUAGUCUGAGAAUCUGCAGCCUGGAAUAUUCAUCUGGACUCAAAGCAAAUACUCAGCUGGUAUGUUCCAGUACACCCAUAGCCAGAGGUAGAUUUUCAUGAAACUGAUCAUAUGAAACUUAUUUAUACUUAGGAUCCUGGUAGAGGCCCUAGUAAUAAUCUUUUUUCCUGUUUUUUUCUUUUCUUUAUUUGUGAAAGUAAGACAAUUUGUAUUUAUUUUCUUCAUGGACAUAUUCCAAAUUGUAUAAAUGUUAGUCUGAACAAAUCAUUUAUCCAUGUCUAGUUGUAUUAAUUUUAAAAAUAUUGACCUACUUAUAUAACUGGUUAAUUAGUCCUCAGGCAUUAUCCCUACACUCUAGCUCCAAGGGCUUCUCCUUAGAAAUCAUCUGGAUAUCUUUAUGAUCCAGCAACGGAAAGAUCAUAUCAGCACAGCAGGGAGACUGCAGGACUGUGCCCCAGGUCCAAGGGUGGCAUCUGUUUGGAUUGGUUGUUACAUGUGCUGUUAUCAGUGGUUAAAUAUUUUGAAUAUCACCCCAAGUAAACCUGAAAAUCUAACUAAAUUUCAAAACUCUCAUAGCUAUUGAAGGACACUCUUAAAGCAACUCCAACUAUUUUGUCAGGAUAUAUUAUUCAUAUGUAGAAUAGCUGUAUAUGUGUGCAUAUAUACAGCAUGUUUGUGUGUGUGCAUGUGUGUGUGUGUGUGUGUGUAUGAGUAGAAUAGUCCUAAAGGAAUGUUCAACAUUAAACAUAAAAUGCCAAGGAAUCUUCUGAGGUAUUGGUAUUUUCUGUUUCUUAUCUGUGUGCUGAUUAUAGAGGUAUGUUAAGUUUGUGAAAAUUCAGAGAGCUAUACAAUUAUGUGCAAUUUUGGCAUUACAUUAUCAUUAAAUACAAAGUUUAAAAAAAAAAAAAAAAA